Pelobates cultripes (western spadefoot toad) is the source of this 211-nucleotide non-coding RNA. NCBI's taxonomy places the organism in Eukaryota, Metazoa, Chordata, Amphibia, Anura, Pelobatidae. The record is from the annotation of a GenBank genome assembly.
GCACAUGCCUGGGGGACAGGGGGAGGAGGGGGAAGCCAAGAGUCAAGAAAACCAAAAAAAAAAAAAGAAUACAUAAUACUGGCACUAUUAUCGGUACAUCGAAUUGCGGGACAUGGGAACACACCCAUAGGAUAACCAAGCCUAACCUUAAGACCAAAGCACCUACGCUCCUUUCAUGCCAGGAGCUAGUUAACUAUGUCCAGCCUAUUAU